Molecule: ribosomal RNA, 229 nt
Filed under: uncultured bacterium
Lineage: Bacteria
Description: partial 16S ribosomal RNA
Rfam family: Bacterial small subunit ribosomal RNA
Source: RNAcentral
UGCGUAGGCGGGCUAAUAAGUCAGUGGUGAAAUCUCUCGGCUCAACGGGGAAACUGCCAUUGAUACUGUUAGUCUUGAGUUCGGUUGAGGUAGGCGGAAUGUGUAAUGUAGCGGUGAAAUGCUUAGAUAUUACACAGAACACCAAUUGCGUAGGCAGCUUACUAGACCGACACUGACGCUGAGGCACGAAAGCGUGGGGAGCGAACAGGAUUAGAUACCCUGGUAGUCC